Amblyraja radiata (thorny skate) is the source of this 1066-nucleotide long non-coding RNA. RefSeq lists it as uncharacterized. The transcript is spliced from 2 exons. NCBI's taxonomy places the organism in Eukaryota, Metazoa, Chordata, Chondrichthyes, Rajiformes, Rajidae. The record is from RefSeq and is a predicted model, not a curated record.
GCGUUGUUAAAUACAGAUUUUUUUAAAAAAAACAUUCGCGUUGUUAAAUACGGAUUUUUUUUUAAAUCCUGGUGCCACCAGGUAGUUUCUAAUCAGAGUGAAGGGCAUUUGGAUGGGACCGCAAAAGAAAAAGUAAAUGUUUAGUGACUGUUUGAAUUUCUGCAAUUACUUGGUCCUUUUUAUGACUUAAGAACUUGAAAUACAUUUAGUGACAAUCUACUGCAACCAUUGUACUUUGUGUCUAGCUGAUCACAUGGUUCGAAAAACUGCUAUCUUUUAAUCUCAUUUUUUUCUUGUGCAACAUCUUUAUUACAAUGCUCAUUUGCAAAUCUUCAAUUCCCAUUCACAAUUACUGGGAGAUGCGAUGAAUGCAGAUCAAAUUCAACCAAAGUUUAAAAGCAGCCAACCUGCCUCUCUACACAAGUUGUAAAAAAAGAGGGAGAUUUCUUCCCAAAAGACAUGGUUCGAAACACAAGCUGGUACGGAAUGCUUGAUACCAAUGCCUUUUUGUCUAAGUCAGAAAAUAAAGAAUGCCGAGAAAAUAAAUGUAAAAAUCUAUACCAGUGAAUGUCAACUUUAUUUUCAAUGGUUUACCCAUACAAUCCAAUAACAGUGAAUUUUACAUCUGCUGAUCUGAGAUUAUUUAAAGUCCAGAGAUAUUGACCCAUCCCGGAAUGUACCUGAAGUUAAUCAACACUAAGAUAAUCAAUAAUAAAUUUAUAUUACCCAUUAUACCCCAUGGACAUCUGAUACUUUAUGUAAAAAUAUAUGACAACUUAAUAAUUAUGUGUUUUCAACAAACUCAGAGAUUUUGUAGCUGCCCAUCUCGCUUCUUGGUUCUGUAUUGUGGAACAGAGGAAUGGCCGAGCUCACUCAGAUUUUGAGUUUCUUCAGAUCUCCAGAGAAAUGGGUUGCACUUGCGUCAAAUCGACGGCUUCUCAUGAAAUGGGUUUGGUGCUAAAAUUGUACACCUACUGUUGUGCUUCAAUGAUUAUGCUUUAAUAUAUUGAUUCGUCAAUAAUGGCUUUAAAAUGGCAAUAUUCUCAAAUAAAACUGUUUUAUUUCA